GCAAACUUGGUCAUUUAGAGGAAGUAAAAGUCGUAACAAGGUUUCCGUAGGUGAACCUGCGGAAGGAUCAUUACCGAUGUCUCCCGGAUUUAGGGGGGUCCGCCCCCCUAUUUCCGUUCGACACCACAGACCCACCCUGUGCACCUCGGAGGGCACGCCGAUGCCCUUAUGUUUUUCGAACGCCUGGUAUCGUUAGAACGUUAAUAUUUUGAUGUAAUUUCGAACACAACUUUCAACAACGGAUCUCUUGGCUCUCGCAUCGAUGAAGAACGCAGC
Molecule: unclassified non-coding RNA, 276 nt
Filed under: uncultured fungus
Lineage: Eukaryota; Fungi
Description: partial contains small subunit ribosomal RNA, internal transcribed spacer 1, and 5.8S ribosomal RNA
Rfam family: Eukaryotic small subunit ribosomal RNA (bases 1-73)
Source: RNAcentral